This 371-nucleotide ribosomal RNA is filed under the name uncultured bacterium. RNAcentral's name for it is "bacterial SSU rRNA". It matches the Rfam family "Bacterial small subunit ribosomal RNA", at positions 527 to 896 of the family's 1533-position model. The record is from RNAcentral.
AGAGGGUGCGAGCGUGGUCCGGAAUCACUGGGCGUAAAGGGCGCGUAGGUGGCUGGGUAAGUGUGCGGUGAAAGCCCGGGGCUCAACCCCGGGUCGGCCGUGCAGACUGCUUGGCUUGAGCAUAGUAGAGGCAGGUGGAAUUCCGGGUGUAGCGGUGGAAUGCGUAGAGAUCCGGAAGAACACCGGUGGCGAAGGCGGCCUGCUGGGCUAUUGCUGACACUGAGGCGCGACAGCGUGGGGAGCAAACAGGAUUAGAUACCCUGGUAGUCCACGCCGUAAACGAUGGGUACUAGGUGUCUGGGGGAGCGACCCCCUGGGUGCCGGCGCUAACGCAUGAAGUACCCCGCCUGGGGAGUACGGCCGCAAGGCUG